Non-coding RNA from Acanthochromis polyacanthus (spiny chromis), 975 nucleotides. NCBI's taxonomy places the organism in Eukaryota, Metazoa, Chordata, Actinopteri, Pomacentridae. The record is from the annotation of a RefSeq genome assembly.
UACUUCAUACUGUUUAUGAUUUAAAGAAAAACGUGUGAAUGUUUCCACAUCUGCUGCUUUUAUUUCCAGAGUAUCUGACAUAUUUGAACGUGUUGAUGACUCUCUGUGUGCUGAUGUGCAUGAGAGGUUUGUUAAAGGGAAGUGAAACAAUGUGUGAGUGAGUGACUGGUGGAGCAGAAAAAGCAUCUGACAGAAACUCCUUGAAGGACUAAACCAAGUCUCUCACAGUGAAGGUGUCCAAGUGGCUGCUGUUUGAUUGACAGCUGUGUGCUCCCUGUCCUCUAAGCUGAUUGGUGUCUCCUAGGUGAUGUCCGUCCCUCCCUGACGGUGCUGCCCCCCUCCACAGAGGAGCUGCAGCAGGGGAAGGCCACGCUCAUGUGUCUGGCCAACAAGGGCUUCCCCUCAGACUGGAGUCUGUCCUGGAAGGUGGAUGGCGGCAUCAUCAGUAGCAGCUGGGAGGAGAGCAGGAGCCCCGGGGUGCUGCAGGAGGACGGCCUCUACAGCUGGAGCAGCACCCUGAGGCUCCCUGCAGACCAGUGGGGGAAGGUGGGCUCUGUGAGCUGUGAGGCCACCCAGGGCUCCCAGACUCCACUCUCAGAGAAACUGUGGAGAGACCUGUGUUCCCAGUCCUGACCUCACCCACUGGGAACAUCACACUGGUUCCACUCUGCUGUUCUCUGUAUUUCUCUUUCUGUCGUUGUCUCACUUUUCUAUUGCGACUUUAUCUUAUCAUUAAUAUUGUUCACCUUCAGUGAUACUUUUGCUUUUUAUGCUUGAAAACAACAUACUUUGUCUCUCAGGUUGCAGACUUUAUUGUGGAUUUUGUCAUGAAUCUUUAUCAUGUGGAAACAUCACACUGGUUCUGUUCUGAUACUGUUCUCUGGUUGCUCUCUGUAACUUUCUCUCUUUCUAAAAUCAUCCUUAUUCUGAUGGUUAAAGCAUUUUAAAAUAAUAAAAAAUGUAUCAAGAAAACAA